Molecule: ribosomal RNA, 1365 nt
Filed under: Glyptelasma gigas
Lineage: Eukaryota; Metazoa; Arthropoda; Thecostraca; Poecilasmatidae
Description: 16S ribosomal RNA
Rfam family: Archaeal large subunit ribosomal RNA (bases 587-1365)
Source: RNAcentral
AUAUAUAAGGUUUUCAAUUUUUUUAUUAUAUAUAGUUUGUAUAAAAUUUUUUAAUAAAUAUAAAUUAAAAAGUAUUUAAAUUUUAGAAAUUUAUUUAAAACUUUAGCUAAUAAGUACUGUAAAGGAAUUUUGAAAUAUUUUAAAUUCAAAUAUUAAAAAAGACUCCUAAUAGGAGUACCUUUUGUAUUAGGUUUAAUCUAAUUAUAAAAUUAAUUUUUAUUUUUCGAAUAUACAAGAGUUAGGUAUUUAAAGGUUAUUUGUAUCAAAAAAUUUUUUUAAAUUUACCUGGGUGUGAAAAGUAACCCGAUUGUAUGGAUAUCUAGUUAUUCUUUAGAUAAAUUUAGUUUAGCAAUAGGAGGAUACAAAAAGAUUUUUUGUUUUCUUAUAUAAUUGUUAGAAUAUAGGGGAUGAGCUCUAUAUUUUGAAAUUACAAUAUUAAUAUUAUAUAUUUUAUUAAGCUUAGUACUAGCUAUAUUAAUAUUUUAUAAUUAAUUUAAAAUUGUUAUAGAUUUAUAAUUGUAUUUAUUUUUAGGGAAUUAUCCUAUUUAAUUUGGUUUUAGGAGAAAAAAUGAUUAUAUUAGUAGAAAAUUUUUAUUUCACUUUCAAAAUUAUUUGUAUAAUUUUAUAAUUAAGUAAAUAAUUACUUUUAAAGAACUCGGCAAAUAUAAUUUCCGAAUGUUUAACAAAAACAUUUCUUCUUUUUUAAGAAGUAAAGCCUGCUCACUGAAUUUUAAAGAGCCGCAGUAUACUGACUGUGCUAAGGUAGCAUAAUAAUUAGUCUUUUAAUUGGGGACUGGAAUGAAAGGUUAAACGAGAAAUUGACUUUUUUAAUAGUAAAAAUCUAACUUUUGGUUUAAGUGAAAACCCUUAAAUAUAAUAAAAAGACGAGAAGACCCUAUAGAGUUUUAUAAUUUAAUAUAUUUAUAUUAAUUGAUGUUUAGAUUUAAAUUUAUGAUUUUAUUUUGUUGGGGCGACAUAAAGAUAUAAGAAACUCUUUUUUUAUAUUACUUUAAUUAAAGAAUAGCUUGAUCCUUAAAAAAGAUUAUAAGAGAAAGUUACCUUAGGGAUAACAGCGUAAUUUUUCUUGAGAGUUCCAAUCGACAGAAAGGUUUGCGACCUCGAUGUUGGACUAAAAUUAUGGUGAGGUGCAGAAGCUUCAUUUUUAGGUCUGUUCGACCUAUAAUUUUUUACACGAUCUGAGUUCAGACCGGCGUAAGCCAGGUUAGUUUCUAUCUUUUAUUUUUCUGGUAUUAACUUAGUACGAAAGGAUUAGUUAGUAGUAAUUUUUAUACGCAUAUCCUUGAGGUUUAUUAAGUAUACUUAAAAUAAAUUUAGCAGACAAAUGUAGCAGAGUUAGAAUCUGAG